Molecule: long non-coding RNA, 157 nt
Organism: Neopelma chrysocephalum (saffron-crested tyrant-manakin)
Lineage: Eukaryota; Metazoa; Chordata; Aves; Passeriformes; Pipridae
Exons: 3
Source: RefSeq, a predicted model, not a curated record
AUGUGGAGCCCCUGGCCCAGCAGACGAUAGGCAUCAGAGGGAAGGUGAGCCCAGUGAGCAAGGCAGUGCACCGACUUCUAACGUACAGUCCAACGUGACGGGGACCCUGCCUGAGAUGUAUGCAGCCUCACAGGGCCGGAGCCAACUCACAAUGAGG